AUUUAUCACUGGGGGUGCCUUCGGGCUGAGAGAUACCCUAUGAACCUGAACCGGGUAAUGCCGGCGGAGGGAAGUGCAAAAGGUUUUAC
This is a non-coding RNA of Clostridiales bacterium, 89 nucleotides long. The record is from Rfam. Lineage: Bacteria; Bacillati; Bacillota; Clostridia; Eubacteriales.